UACGGAGGGGGCAAGCGUUGUUCGGAAUUAUUGGGCGUAAAGGGCACGUAGGUGGACUAGUAAGUUAAAAGUGAAAUACCAAAGCUUAACUUUGGAGCGGCUUUUAAUACUGCUAGACUAGAGGUCGAAAGAGGAUAGCGGAAUUCCUAGUGUAGAGGUGAAAUUCGUAGAUAUUAGGAGGAACACCAGUUGCGAAGGCGGCUAUCUGGUUCGAUACUGACACUGAGGUGCGAAAGCG
RNAcentral lists this ribosomal RNA (238 nucleotides) under uncultured Ehrlichia sp. RNAcentral describes it as "partial 16S ribosomal RNA". It matches the Rfam family "Bacterial small subunit ribosomal RNA", at positions 524 to 761 of the family's 1533-position model. Lineage: Bacteria; Pseudomonadati; Pseudomonadota; Alphaproteobacteria; Rickettsiales; Anaplasmataceae. The record is from RNAcentral.